Ochotona princeps (American pika) is the source of this 521-nucleotide long non-coding RNA. RefSeq lists it as uncharacterized. The transcript has 3 exons. Lineage: Eukaryota; Metazoa; Chordata; Mammalia; Lagomorpha; Ochotonidae. The record is from RefSeq and is a predicted model, not a curated record.
CUCUCGGCCGCAGCAAGUCCCUCCAAGUUCCCUCCCUCGCUCUCCAGCGGAGCCUGCCUGAGCCCUCCCACUCGGUGCAGAGCGAACCGCCGCGGCCGCCGCCAGCUGGGCCCUCCGCGGCCGCGCGUCCUGGGCCGGCUUGGCCAACCCCGUCCGCUCCCUGCGCGCAGCCCCGCGGUGGCGUUGGCGGCGCGGUGAGGACUCUGCGGCCCCUACUGCCCGCGGUCGGUGCUCAGUCCUCGUUGGGCCCCGACUCUUCCCACCUCGCCAUUCCUGGAAGCCUGGCCGCCGGCUCGGCCCGCGUCGCCCUGAGCCGGGGAGCACGGCUGAGGAGUUCCAAAAGCAGACGUGCAGAACACUGCUCCUCUUUUUACAUCUUGGAUUACAAACUGAGAAGACUCCAUAAAGCUAAAAGGGAAAUAACAAGGUGCGCUGGGCCUGUUGAGAGCCAUUCCUGGUUAAAUGAAGCGUCCUUUUGUAAGUAGAACCCUCUCUUUAGCCAUCAAGAGUCACACAUGGGA